This 433-nucleotide ribosomal RNA is filed under the name uncultured bacterium. RNAcentral's name for it is "partial 16S ribosomal RNA". It matches the Rfam family "Bacterial small subunit ribosomal RNA", at positions 29 to 507 of the family's 1533-position model. The record is from RNAcentral.
AACGAACGCUGGCGGCAGGCCUGACACAUGCAAGUCGAGCGAGAUCUUCGGGUCUAGCGGCGGACGGGUGAGUAACGCGUGGGAAUAUGCCUCUUGGUACGGAAUAGCCUCGGGAAACUGGGAGUAAUACCGUAUGUGCCCUUUGGGGGAAAGAUUUAUCGCCAAGAGAUUAGCCCGCGUUGGAUUAGGUAGUUGGUGGGGUAAUGGCCUACCAAGCCGACGAUCCAUAGCUGGUUUGAGAGGAUGAUCAGCCACACUGGGACUGAGACACGGCCCAGACUCCUACGGGAGGCAGCAGUGGGGAAUCUUAGACAAUGGAGGCAACCCUGAUCUAGCCAUGCCGCGUGAGUGAUGAAGGCCUUAGGGUUGUAAAGCUCUUUCAGCUGGGAAGAUAAUGACGGUACCAGCAGAAGAAGCCCCGGCUAACUCCGUG